CUGUCACUCAUCUGUCCUUUACCUGGGAUUGAUGAUGAAACACUCCAGUCCAGACCUCCGUGUGGGAGACACUUCCAGGAAACAAUGCAGAUAAUUUCCCUCUGCUGGCCAACGCACCGUCCCCAUCUGCCACAGACUGAAACCUGUAGUGAGGAAUCAGAGAGAAUUUGAGUCAGACAGUCUUUGCUGGGAGGCACGGCCACGGAAAUCAGAACACGAGUGUUCACUCAGGUGGGAAGCUGUGUGUGUGGAGAAAGGGACAAGAACAUGAAAUAAAUUGUGGUGUACUUUUUUUUCAAUAAUGGCUGCUGAUGAUAACUGUAAGCAAAAAGGCAGAACACAAGGACUGCAGUGGAAAAGGGGCGUGUUGCUUUCUGAAACUCACAAUGCCUUCAACUGUAACUUCAGCCUCGUCUGACUUCACGUCGAGCUCCUCCUGUGUCAUCUAACACUGAGCGUUCUGCUCACUGCCAUCUUGGCGCUGUGCAUCAAAUCCAUAUGGAGCAAACGCUUUACAGUGAAAACACUCCAACCCCCGAGAUGUCGUGAAAUGCUCCAAAGAUGGACACACUCCGCUGCACACGCAGACCCCCGAUACGCCUAUUAAUGUAAGUACAGCUGCAGACAACAGCUUUGUUCUCCCCUAUCACCUUUUUCUUUUCUAUUCUUUUCUUUUUUCUUUCAUUUCUGCACUUAUUUUACAYCCAGCUGAAAAUGUCUGAGUGCCUUCGGAGUGCCAUGCUUCAAUUGUUUCACUUCUCUUUAGUGGGGAAACACAGCAGGGACAUGUCUUCCCUGGUGCUUUUAAAACCACUUACUAACUUCUGCACUCUGUGCACACAAAUGUUGAACUUGGAUACGCAUUAGCUUUGACCCUGCAUUGACAUGUUUCCUUAGUUCUCCUUAUGAAUGAAU
Long non-coding RNA from Austrofundulus limnaeus, 915 nucleotides. RefSeq lists it as uncharacterized. The record is from RefSeq and is a predicted model, not a curated record. NCBI's taxonomy places the organism in Eukaryota, Metazoa, Chordata, Actinopteri, Cyprinodontiformes, Rivulidae. The transcript is spliced from 3 exons.